GCAGGAAUGGUUCAGUGGUAGAAUUUUCACCUUCCAUGUGUGAGACCUAGGUUCGAUUCCCAGCCAAUGCA
Molecule: transfer RNA, 71 nt
Filed under: Loxodonta africana (African savanna elephant)
Lineage: Eukaryota; Metazoa; Chordata; Mammalia; Proboscidea; Elephantidae
Rfam family: tRNA
About the family: Transfer RNA (tRNA) molecules are approximately 80 nucleotides in length. Their secondary structure includes four short double-helical elements and three loops (D, anti-codon, and T loops). Further hydrogen bonds mediate the characteristic L-shaped molecular structure. tRNAs have two regions of fundamental functional importance: the anti-codon, which is responsible for specific mRNA codon recognition, and the 3' end, to which the tRNAs corresponding amino acid is attached (by aminoacyl-tRNA synthetases). tRNAs cope with the degeneracy of the genetic code in two manners: having more than one tRNA (with a specific anti-codon) for a particular amino acid; and 'wobble' base-pairing, i.e. permitting non-standard base-pairing at the 3rd anti-codon position.
Source: Rfam by way of RNAcentral